This 1550-nucleotide ribosomal RNA is filed under the name Klebsiella pneumoniae. RNAcentral describes it as "bacterial SSU rRNA". It matches the Rfam family "Bacterial small subunit ribosomal RNA". The record is from RNAcentral. Lineage: Bacteria; Pseudomonadati; Pseudomonadota; Gammaproteobacteria; Enterobacterales; Enterobacteriaceae.
AAAUUGAAGAGUUUGAUCAUGGCUCAGAUUGAACGCUGGCGGCAGGCCUAACACAUGCAAGUCGAGCGGUAGCACAGAGAGCUUGCUCUCGGGUGACGAGCGGCGGACGGGUGAGUAAUGUCUGGGAAACUGCCUGAUGGAGGGGGAUAACUACUGGAAACGGUAGCUAAUACCGCAUAACGUCGCAAGACCAAAGUGGGGGACCUUCGGGCCUCAUGCCAUCAGAUGUGCCCAGAUGGGAUUAGCUAGUAGGUGGGGUAACGGCUCACCUAGGCGACGAUCCCUAGCUGGUCUGAGAGGAUGACCAGCCACACUGGAACUGAGACACGGUCCAGACUCCUACGGGAGGCAGCAGUGGGGAAUAUUGCACAAUGGGCGCAAGCCUGAUGCAGCCAUGCCGCGUGUGUGAAGAAGGCCUUCGGGUUGUAAAGCACUUUCAGCGGGGAGGAAGGCGAUAAGGUUAAUAACCUCAUCGAUUGACGUUACCCGCAGAAGAAGCACCGGCUAACUCCGUGCCAGCAGCCGCGGUAAUACGGAGGGUGCAAGCGUUAAUCGGAAUUACUGGGCGUAAAGCGCACGCAGGCGGUCUGUCAAGUCGGAUGUGAAAUCCCCGGGCUCAACCUGGGAACUGCAUUCGAAACUGGCAGGCUAGAGUCUUGUAGAGGGGGGUAGAAUUCCAGGUGUAGCGGUGAAAUGCGUAGAGAUCUGGAGGAAUACCGGUGGCGAAGGCGGCCCCCUGGACAAAGACUGACGCUCAGGUGCGAAAGCGUGGGGAGCAAACAGGAUUAGAUACCCUGGUAGUCCACGCCGUAAACGAUGUCGAUUUGGAGGUUGUGCCCUUGAGGCGUGGCUUCCGGAGCUAACGCGUUAAAUCGACCGCACGGGGAGUACGGCCGCAAGGUUAAAACUCAAAUGAAUUGACGGGGGCCCGCACAAGCGGUGGAGCAUGUGGUUUAAUUCGAUGCAACGCGAAGAACCUUACCUGGUCUUGACAUCCACAGAACUUUCCAGAGAUGGAUUGGUGCCUUCGGGAACUGUGAGACAGGUGCUGCAUGGCUGUCGUCAGCUCGUGUUGUGAAAUGUUGGGUUAAGUCCCGCAACGAGCGCAACCCUUAUCCUUUGUUGCCAGCGGUUAGGCCGGGAACUCAAAGGAGACUGCCAGUGAUAAACUGGAGGAAGGUGGGGAUGACGUCAAGUCAUCAUGGCCCUUACGACCAGGGCUACACACGUGCUACAAUGGCAUAUACAAAGAGAAGCGACCUCGCGAGAGCAAGCGGACCUCAUAAAGUAUGUCGUAGUCCGGAUUGGAGUCUGCAACUCGACUCCAUGAAGUCGGAAUCGCUAGUAAUCGUAGAUCAGAAUGCUACGGUGAAUACGUUCCCGGGCCUUGUACACACCGCCCGUCACACCAUGGGAGUGGGUUGCAAAAGAAGUAGGUAGCUUAACCUUCGGGAGGGCGCUUACCACUUUGUGAUUCAUGACUGGGGUGAAGUCGUAACAAGGUAACCGUAGGGGAACCUGCGGUUGGAUCACCUCCUUACCUUAAAGAA